UUUCCGUAGGUGAACCUGCGGAAGGAUCAUUACAGAGUUCAUGCCCUUCGGGGUAGAUCUCCACCCGUGUUUAUUUAUACCUUUGUUGCUUUGGCAGGCCGUCAGGCUUCGGCUUGACUAUCGGCUCCGGCUGGUGCGUGCCCGCCAGAGGACCCCAAACUCUGAAUGUUAGUGUCGUCUGAGUACUAUCUAAUAGUUAAAACUUUCAACAACGGAUCUCUUGGUUCUGGCAUCGAUGAAGAACGCAGC
This 249-nucleotide unclassified non-coding RNA is filed under the name uncultured fungus. Its description in RNAcentral is "sequence contains ITS1, 5.8S rRNA gene". The stretch from base 201 to 249 matches the Rfam family "5.8S ribosomal RNA", at positions 1 to 49 of the family's 154-position model. The record is from RNAcentral. Lineage: Eukaryota; Fungi.